UAAUUGUUUACCUCUUUAUUUCAUAUUGGCAGCCUUUUAUAGACUGUUAAUAACAAAUGAAAGAGUCCUAAUUGACAUAAAAUAUAAUUCCUAAUGAAAGAGUCCUAAUUGACAUAAAAUAGAAUUCCUAACUUAGAGUUUAUGAAGGAAAUAAAAACCUAAUAUAAUAGAUAAGUAAAACUAAAACCCUUAGUAAAACCUGAUAUAUAAUAAAUAAAUAAAACUAAAAACUCCUAUUGUAAUUAAAGUGUCCAUAUCAAAAUAUUAUUAUAUAUGGUGGAUUAUAAUUAUUUGUUGCCUCUUUGACUUGUUCUAAUUUCAUCUGCACGGG
Molecule: long non-coding RNA, 331 nt
Filed under: Gossypium barbadense (sea-island cotton)
Lineage: Eukaryota; Viridiplantae; Streptophyta; Magnoliopsida; Malvales; Malvaceae
Description: long non-coding RNA (GBAR_LNC013062)
Source: RNAcentral